GCUUGUAUAUGUUUGUAUCACAAAUUUUCAUAUUCUUAAUUAUUAAAAUUUUCAUACUCAAAAUUUAGCUCUUUUCUUAGUUUUUUUUUUAAUUUAAAUUUUUAAAAUAUUAAUCAGUUACUUUCUACUUAUAUAUAUAUAUAUAUAAAUCAUGUAAAUGUUAUAUUAUUUGUAAUUAUGUAUGAUUUUUUAUUUUUUUAUUUUUUGAAACGUGCUUUGUGAUUUUGUUAAAUUGGUACAUUAAGAGUAUUGAACCUUUAUUCUGAUU
Molecule: long non-coding RNA, 268 nt
Filed under: Physcomitrium patens
Lineage: Eukaryota; Viridiplantae; Streptophyta; Bryopsida; Funariales; Funariaceae
Description: long non-coding RNA (PPAT_LNC007917)
Source: RNAcentral